ACUCAAUAGAUACCCCGGUAGUCCACGCCCUAAACGAUGCAUAUUUGGUGUGGGCAGUUCAUUCUGUCCGUGCCGGAGCUAACGCGUUAAAUAUGCCGCCUGGGGAGUACAGUCGCAAGGCUGAAACUCAAAGGAAUUGACGGGGGCCCGCACAAGCGGUGGAGCAUGUGGUUCAAUUCGACGCAACGCGAAGAACCUUACCUGGGCUCGAACGGCUGGUCAACGGCGGUGGAAACAUCGCUACCCCGCAAGGGGGUCCAGUCGAGGUGCUGCAUGGCUGUCGUCAGCUCGUGUCGUGAGAUGUUGGGUUAAGUCCCGCAACGAGCGCAACCCUUGUCCUGUGUUGCCAUGUCGAAAGACGGAACUCGCAGGAGACCGCCAGGGAUAACCUGGAGGAAGGUGGGGAUGACGUCAAGUCCUCAUGGCCUUUAUGUCCAGGGCUACACACGUGCUACAAUGGACGGUACAAAGCGCAGCGAACUCGCGAGAGGGAGCCAAUCGCAAAAACCGUUCUCAGUUCGGAUUGCAGG
RNAcentral lists this ribosomal RNA (530 nucleotides) under uncultured bacterium. RNAcentral describes it as "bacterial SSU rRNA". It matches the Rfam family "Bacterial small subunit ribosomal RNA", at positions 772 to 1304 of the family's 1533-position model. The record is from RNAcentral.